GACGAACGCUGGCGGCGUGCUUAAUACAUGCAAGUCGAACGGAAAGGCCCUGCUCUUGCGGGGUUCUCGAGUGGCGAAAGGGUGAGUAACACGUGAGUAACCUGCCCUUGACUUUGGGAUAACUUCAGGAAACUGGGGCUAAAACCGGAUAGGAGCUCCUGCUCCAUGGGGUGGGUUGGAAAGUUUCGGCGGUUGGGGAUGGACUCGCGGCUUAUCAGCUUGUUGGUGGGGUAGUGGCUUACCAAGGCUUUGACGGGUAGCCGGCCUGAGAGGGUGACCGGCCACAUUGGGACUAAGAGACGGCCCAGACUCCUACGGGAGGCAGCAGUGGGGAAUAUUGCACAAUGGGCGGAAGCCUGAUGCAGCAACGCCGCGUGCGGGAUGACGGCCUUCGGGUUGUAAACCGCUUUCGCCUGUGACGAAGCGUGAGUGACGGUAAUGGGUAAAGAAGCACCGGCUAACUACAUG
Molecule: ribosomal RNA, 468 nt
Filed under: uncultured bacterium
Lineage: Bacteria
Description: partial 16S ribosomal RNA
Rfam family: Bacterial small subunit ribosomal RNA
Source: RNAcentral